AAGUUGUAACAAGGUAACCGUAGGUGAACCUGCGGAUCAUUAACAAAAUCAAUAGGCCCUCCGGCUGCCUCAAAAGGGAGAAGGAGGGAAUCUUAAUCAUUUGUGUGCACCAUAUCUGUCUUUGGCAGUUCGAGUGUUCCGCGCUGUAACGGCCUUGGGUACCUACACUGGCUUUUCCUUAUGGAUAGCCAGUGUUGAGCUGCCGCAGUUUUUAAACAAACAUUAUUUUGAAAUUAUUGUCUGAAUUUUAUUUGAUCAUCAUUGAUCAAAUUUAAAAACCACUUUUGACAACGGAUCUCUUGGCUCUC
Molecule: unclassified non-coding RNA, 308 nt
Filed under: fungal sp.
Lineage: Eukaryota; Fungi
Description: partial internal transcribed spacer region
Source: RNAcentral